UAGAAAUUAGCCUGUGAGAUCAAGAUGCAGAUAUAUCCACCAGAUACCAAAUGCCACACCAAAGCAGACAUUUUCAAAUGUUGAGAGACCUAUGAAUACAUCUACAUCCUUCUUUGGACUUUGAAACAACUGAUUGAGUAUGUUAGCUAACAUUUAAUCAAUUAUGUUUGAACAGUGCUACACAACAGCCUGGGUGGAUUUUGCUUUUUCCACCGGCCCACUCCAGCUAUAAUCUCUUUUUUGUUAAAAUAUUGAUAUCUAAUGCUUAUCUGUUUUUUUUUCAAUUGAUUGUACUUGCAAGUCUUUUGAUUAAACAAAAGAAAUUGCAUGCCCACUCCUAUGGGUGGGCAGAGUUGACAAGCUAGAAAGUUUGCCCACUCCCACUGUGGACGGGUGGACAAAGCAAAAUCCACCUGAGCUGUAGUGUAUAUUUGAAAGUCAAUGACUUCUAUUAAAAAAAAGAAAAAAGAAAUCUAGAACUUUACAAUCUUUUUUUAAUACCCCUAUUUAUAUACAAAAGAAGAUGUCAUAUGAUUGCCAAAGAUACAACUCUCCACAAGAAACCAAGUGACACAGAAAUUAACAGCUACAGGUCAUUGUAAGGCCUUCAACAAUGAGCAAAGCCCAUACCGCAUAUUCAGCUAUAAAAGGCACUGAAAUGACAAAUGAAAUAUUAUGCAUGGUGGGGGUGAAAUAAAAAGUGUCUUCUGACCCCUGAUCCCCCUACAUUUAUUUCUGGAACAUCCCUCAGUGUUGCAACACAUAAACACAUUUGGUAGUCAGAUUGCUUUCAACCAUAUACUAUAGUGAUAGUUUUCUUCUUCAGAAUGCUAAAUUUAAAAGUUUUAAUUAAUUUGUGAUGAAUUUUCUUUUUUACUUCCAGUUAGGCAAGAUGUUAUCUCUCAUAUCAAAGAGAUAGAAUAUGAAACUGGCAGCCAGUAUUGAUAUAAUGUGGUACUAAAAGCUCCAAUACCAUCAGGGGCUGAAGACAUAACAGGAAUUGUGUGGGAUUUGACCAACCUUAGACUAAAGAGAAAAGUUGUUGCUGCAUUACAGAUAUUUUGAACUCAGCAAUUUUUAUUAAUGUUUUUAAUGUUAAUUCUCUCUCUUAUGAAUAAUAUGAUAUCUAUACUUGCAAUGAGCAUGAAUUGAAAGUUCCUCAUGUCUGUAAAACUGUUUUCCCUUGACAUUGACCACAUUUCAUGGAUCGGUGAAAAAAGUUAUGUACCCAUGGUCAAGUCCAUGUAUCAGAUUCAAAAAGCAAUAGGUCUGCUUAAUUUGGUAUACUGUAUGAUUGAUCCUGAUCUCAUUGUCAUGCUUUAUUGAUCAAUGUUAAUAUUCAAAAGAUUUAAUAUUGAUUGUACAUUGUAUAUAUAGAUAUGAUAAUAUUUAUUUGUAUCCUUUGAACCAUCAUGACCAU
This 1420-nucleotide long non-coding RNA is filed under the name Mytilus galloprovincialis (Mediterranean mussel). Lineage: Eukaryota; Metazoa; Mollusca; Bivalvia; Mytilida; Mytilidae. The record is from RNAcentral.